Molecule: long non-coding RNA, 1251 nt
Filed under: Anas platyrhynchos platyrhynchos (common mallard)
Lineage: Eukaryota; Metazoa; Chordata; Aves; Anseriformes; Anatidae
Description: lncRNA (ENSAPLG00000023354.1)
Source: RNAcentral
GCUUUUUGACUAGUGGAAAUGUUCCCAGUACUGUUACAGUAACUUUAGAAUAUUAGAAUGUAAACUGAAGAAGGUAAAGUAAGUGUGUGGCUUUUAUACAGAUAGAUUUUUAGAGGAGGUGGUCUCAUAUUCAUUCAUUUCAUAGGAGGAAAUUCUCAUAUCUUUCCUGUUAUUCAUCAUCUAACUUGUCAUUGUUAAAAGUAGCUGAAUUUGCAAAGCAUAGAUCAUCUAACAAUGGGCUAUUUGCCUUGAAAGUCAAAGGCAAUCCAAUGGCAGAACAUUGUAUUGUGGCAGAAGGUUAAAAAAAUUUCCCAGUUUUGAGAAUAUCUUGGUUACUGUUUGGAACACUGAACCCACAUGUUAGCCAUAUGAAAUAGGAAAGAUACAUAAAAAAAAAAAAAAAAAGCAGAAAUAAAAUGGGAUUAAAAAAAUAAAAUAUGGUUCCCUCUGCUGUAACUAAAACCACCUUCAUUUUGAUUCCCAGAACUGGCCACUACAGGAAGAAACAUUGAAACAUUUCAUUCAUGAGUGGGAUCAAAUUUGCUUAAUUCCUGCCAAGUCUCCACCAGAAAAGGAAUUUCCAACAGCCACUGGAGAUAAAGAUGGUACUGCAAGAACUUCAUGGAGAUCCUGUAAACAAAGCAUACUGAUUCAUUUCCUGAAGGUCUGAAGUCACUAGAUCUCCUAGUCUCAGGCUGUGGUGUUGGUUCUGUUCAUUAAUUAUUAACUUAAGAUUUGAAGCAGGAAUUGCCUAUCUGCCAUUGUUAGGAUAAAAGCAAAUGUAAAAACAUGAGAGGUAUGUGCAUUUCAUAAAGAUUACAAAUUCUUUGAAAGUAGAAAAAUAAUGAGAAUGGCUGUCUUGAAGUACUGUUGGAAGAGUACAGGAAGGGAGGCAAAGGCUGAAAAUGCAGAAGUGUCUCAUUGGUCUCUAAAGUGGAUUUAAAGCUUGUAGAAAACACCUGUAUAGCAUGGGAUGUUAGAAUGAAAUGCCUCAAGAUUGUAUUUCCAUCUAGUGACUGUCUUGAUUUAGCAAUCCAUGUCAUACUUGAGAAUUAGUGUCUACUGUAUCCUACCUGUACAGCCAGAAUUUACUUUGGAGAUCCUGGAACGGAUCUGAGAUGGUUUAAAUUAUAGUAGUUGUGUAUCUAUGUGUUUAGACGGACUUUUGUUUUUUUCUUCUUUUCCUUUAUUAUUUAUAUACUCAGAAUACAAAAUUUGGCACUGUAAUUAAUAGAAAGUAUCCACAUGCUA